GAAGAAAAGCUGAUGGAAAAUCAAUAAUGAAAUAUAUAAUUUCUUUCUUUUAAUGCUGUGUCCAAUAAUUAAGCGUACAUAAUUUAAUUCAAAUGAUGAAUAUGUCACUAUUGCAGUAAUCAGUGUACAUUUUCAGACGCAAAAUAGUAUAUUUUGAGCAAAGAGACGGUAAAGGUUAAAGGUCAUUGUGAUGUUUACGUUAUGACGUUAUUGAUUAGCAACCGCAUGUGCCGUCUGUCGUCUGCAAGAUGUACUGAAACAAUGAAGCAUCAAACAAAUGGAAUCUGAUGGGAAGGUUGGAGAGUCUCCAUACACGGAGCAGAGAAAGAAGUCGGUAGCGUUCGCAAUUAACCAACCCCUUGUUCCCACUGUGCCCAUGGCACCUUCUUCAAACACCCGUGUGCCAGUUGAUAAGCAAUUACCUACAAAUUUGGCCAGGAGGCCAUCCAGUAAUUUCUUACCCAGUAAGAAACGCAUUUCCAUGUCCUUAGGCACCCAGGAGGAAAGCAUUGUUCAGCGAGGCCAAAAACAAAAGUCGAGAAAGAUGUCCCUUGAAGCAAAGUCUAUCUCAGACAUUGAUGCGUUUCCAACAGUCAAAACACAUGUGGAAAAUAUCACUGAGGCGCCAUCUACAACAACCCAUUUUCCAGAUCUUGCGCAGGCAAGACCACAGGUGGAAGUCAAGAUUCAAAGGGAAACAAUAAAACCACUGGGACGGAAUGAGAAAUCAAAGCCAGCAAAGAGCAGCCCCUGGGACAAGAUUGACUUCAAGUCUCAACUUAGGAUGGACCCGUUUGAAAUGGCCAGCAUGAUGAGCAGUGGGUCCAGCCCCUUAAGCCCCUUCAUGAAAGUAAACAACAUUUUAGGGUUAGCCGAAUUAAUGUCCCCUGAUCUCCGCUGUGAUGUUGGCUUUUACCCUCACAGUCUUCUAACUCGCAGGAGGUCCUCCUCAUCGAUGUACAGCAACGGCGAGGUCAUGGAGGUGCUGGCAGAGCUACAGAAACGGAUACGUCAACGAAAGGAGGACGACAUUAAAGCAGAGCUCACGGCCAUAAAACAGCGUGUACAAAAGAGCCUGGAGGAUGUAGACAUGGCUGACAACCCCGAUGAGGAUCCUAGUGUGGUCCAGACACCGACCUUCACCUCGGCCUUCAACACCCGCGCCAUGUGGGAGAAAAUGCAGGAGAGAAAUCAGCUUCUAGAGCGAGUCGAUGGUUUUGCGGAGAAUGCCGUAAACAAGAAACAAAUGAUCAUGGAAGUGAACUACUGGCUUCAAGACAAUCUCAAUAUGUCCAGUGAUGUGGCUACCCCAGAGGAGCUCAAAGCAAUGGUAGAAGAAGCAGCAGACUUGCACAAUGUCAUAUCCACUUCCAUGGAAGAGUUUAUCAACACGGGUGACAAGGUGGUGGAGAAAGGGCGCCUGCUACUGCAGGAGACGAGCAAAAUCAUUGAAGAAAGACGAGCACAUAGAGAUAAGAGUUCAAAAAGAGAAAAAAUGAAUAUCUAUGAUGAAAAGGUGCUGUUGUCGGAGCCUGCUAAAUGGGAGAGCUCGGUAGCGAUGAUCCUGUCAGUGUUUGAAGACAGCCACAAGAUGAUGAAGAAUGUAGUGCUGAAAAAUUCCCUCAAGCUUAGUCAGAAUCAGUUUGAGUACAUGAUGCUGGCGUCCGAGAUUCGUGCAAAAGAGUUUGAAGACAAGAGGAAGAUGUGCAUAGAACUUCAGGGGAAGUUGCACUCUGCCAAACUGGGAACCGACCGGGUGAGUAGGGAGGUGGAAGAGCAAAAGAAGAAGGUCGCACAGAUGGGACAAGAGAUGGAGACGUCCAAUAAAGCACUUGAGAACCUGCAGCAGAGAAACCAAGAGUUGCAAAGCAAAGUGAUGGAGCUGAACGCCAAAAUACGCUCGCUGGAGGAGCAGCUGGUGAUAGCCAACACCCCACGCACACCCCCACCCCCUCCAACACCACCACCACCACCCACCCCAGAGAAGAUCUAUGUGAAGGUAGUUGACUCGAGCACUGAACUACGUCUGAGAGAAGUUGAGGAUGAACUAGCCAAAGCUAGGGUUGAAAUUGAAGAUUUGAUGUUAAAACUGGAAGAAGUGUCAGAACAACUACAAGCGGAACAGGACCGUAGCCGCCAACUGGAGUCUCGUAUCCUUGAGCUGGAGAGUAUUGAGCCCCCAGCUCCUGUCAUCAUACAGGCACCACUGCCAUCACAACCAUCACUGCAAAUACCAACAGAGCCUUCUGAAUUGGACGUCAUUAUACCAGAGGCGCAGGCAGUCCCAGAUGGGACAACCAAGGACAGCCACUAUUACAAGACUCUCAUGGCAGGCAUGAAAAAGGACUUCGAGGCUGAACUGGAGAAGGUUAAAGGUCACUUUCUCAAGGAGAAAUCAAGGGGUGAGGCCGGGAUCCGUAAGAUAGAACAACAGCACAAGGAUCAACUACACAGCAUACAGCGGGACACGAUGCGUAUCCUGCGAGCAAUCAUGCACUUCCGAGAUCACAUGCAGACCUGUCUCGAGAAAGAGAACCUUGUGGAUCAGGCACAGGCGUUGACCGAACUUGGAAGCAUCACCAAGGACAAGAUUUCCCAGGAUGCAAAAGAUGCGUUGGUUGCUGUUGUAGGGGUGGUAGUAGAAUAUCUCCACAAUCUAGAGGGUAUCCUCUCCAACUCCCUACUGGCCCUCAAGAUGCUCAUGAAACAACAGGUUGAGCGCCUCGUGGAACAGGAAGUGCAGCUACGGCUCACCAAGGAGAGGCAGGAACGCACUAUCAAGGAAGUACAGAAAAAGGAUCGUAUGUUGAAAGGGAAGCGUAAAGAUGUUGGUGGAAUUGCAAAGAGGCUGAAAAAGGCCAAGAACAAGCUGAAGAAAGCCAAGCACGACAUUGAGUUCCUUUCCAACGACAAGCGCUACCUGGACCUGCUGGGGAGAUACAGCUACAUGAUGAAGAUAUACCAGAAGAUGCAGAGAGAGAUGGAGACACUGCAGAGUGACUUCCAGCAGACCAUGCAGAAAAAACUGGAUGAAAGGGAAACUUUGGUCAUCUCACAGAUGAAGAUGCAAAUAAAACAGCAACGAGUGGUGAAUGAAGAGAAUCUAAGACUGACAAUCAUGGACCAGCGAGAGAACCUUCGUAUCCUGGCACGGGCGUAUGAGGACAACAAGAUUUCCCGAGAUCUCCUCGCCUGUGCCAAAGCCAUGAUACAGAAAACCAUGGAAAUUCCCGAGAUACGGUUACGGAACCUUUUUGAGCAAUACAUCACCUUCAGAGCUAUCCAGGAUGCCAGACAGCGUGUUGAGAAGGUAUUAGAAGAGGAAGAGGACCUAGCUAUUGACACUCGCAAUGAGAUGCAACUUUACCUGGCAAAUAUGGAUGGGCGAUUUAACUCCAGCAUGAAGGUUUGGAGAAGCAAAAUGAAGCAACUGGAAUCAGAGAAAAGAGAAAUGAACCAUAAAAUCUUUAAAUUAUUCAACGAGGUCCUUCUGGAGACGGGAAUACUCCUGGUACAUCCCCUACUCAAAGACAAGGACAGACAGACCAUCUUCAACAACGCCGCCACACAGGUCCCCAGGAAACAACUACAGGCUCUGCUCUUGAAACGGCAACCCAAAUGCAUGAAGCUGGAGGCUGAGUUACUGCGACUGCCAUCAGAGCUGCAGGGAUCUGCCAUCAAUAACCACUGUGGAACUGAGAGACUCUGGUCCCAACAGUCCCUGGAAUCUAAAAUGGCACCUAGUGUAAUCUUACCCCACAUUCUUGCAUAUGAGGUCAACAAGCCUAAAAUUAGUGCAGUCAGGUAAGUAAAUCAUGUGAGAUCAUCAAUCAGGUAAGUAAAUCAUGUGAGAUCAUCAAUCAGGUAAGUAAAUCAUGUGAGAUCAUCAGUGAGGUAAGUAAAUCAUGUGAGAUCAUCAAGUCAGGUAAGUGAAUCAUGAGAGAUCAUCAGUCAGGUAAGUAAAUCAUGUGAGAUCAUCAGUCAGGUAAGUAAAUCACACCAGUCAGGUAAGUAAAUCAUGUGAGAUCAUCAAGUCAGGUAAGUAAAUUAUGUGAGAUAAUCAAUCAUGUAAGUAAAUCAUGUGAGAUCAUCAGUGAGGUAAGUAAAUCAUGUGAGAUCAUCAAGUCAGGUAAGUAAAUCAUGUGAGGUCAUCAGUCUGGUAAGUAAAUAAUGUGAGAUCAUCAGUCUAGUAAGUAAAUCAUGUGAGAUAAUCAGUCAGGUAAGUAAAUCAUGUGAGAUCAUCAGUCAGGUAAGUAAAUCAUGUGAGAUCAUAAGUCAGGCAAGUAAAUCAUGUGAGAAUAUCAGGUAGGCAAGUAAAUCAUGUGAGAUCAUCAGUCAGGUAAUUAAUCAUGUGAGAUCAUCAAUCAGGUAAGUAAAUCAUGUGAUAUCAUCAGUCAGGUAAGUAAAUCAUGUGAGAUCAUCAGUCAGGUAAGUAAAUCAUGUGGCAUCAUCAGUCAGGUAAGUAAAUUAUGUGAGAUCAUCAGUCAGGUAAGUAAAUCAUGCGAGAGCAUCAGUCAGGUAAGUAAAUCACACCAGUCAGGUAAGUAAAUCAUGUGAGAUCAUGAGUCAGGUAAGUAAAUCAUGUGAGAUCAUCUGUCAGGUAAGUAAAUCAUGUGAGAUCAUCAGUCAGGUAAGUAAAUCAUGCAAGAUCAUCACUCAGGUAAGUAAAUCAUGUGAGAUCAUCAGUAUGGUAAGUAAAUCAUGUGAGAUCAUCAAGCACAAUGUAAAGAUGUUUGUGAUAAGCAAUUUUUGUUUAGUUGGUGAAAUAUUAAAACAGAAUGAGAUAAAUCUGCUUAUCUACACCCUGCAUAUAAAUUAUUGGUACCACUAACAUUAUAGUGAUUGUAAGCUUCAUGUGGGUUAAAAUAUUACAUUUUGCAUCAUACUUUAAGAUAGGAAGUGCUUUUUCCCACCGUUGUGGGAAAAGGUAAUGUGCCCUUUAGAUUAAAAAACAAUGUGUUGUUUCCACUUAUGCAUUUGGAAUGUCUGUUGUUCUUUUUCGCUUAUAAAUAUGAUCACAUUCAAAAUAUGUUUUUUAACAUUACAUUUUGCAAAAAUAAAAUUGAUACAGGCUUGGACUGAACAUUUAGAUUUAGUAACUCUUUUUUUUCUUUAAAAUUUCAAUAUGUAUGUGUGUGCCUGGGAAUGAGGCCAAAUUUUGCCCUAAAAUUUGAAGAAAAAACCAACUCAACAGGAUUGUGUCAUUUCCCUACUCUUACCCGACUUUUAGUGCACCCAGUAAUGUCCUUCCUUAACCCAUUUAUGCCUAGUGUCUAGAAAAAAGGCCUUGGCAAACAGCGUAGACCCAGAUGAGAUGCCUCAUGAUGCAGCGUCUCAUUAGGGUCUGCGCUGUUUGAUUAAAGGAAUUUCUGUAAGAAAUAUUCUAAAUAUAGAAAUAAAUAUACUAGACAUCCCUAAUUUUGGAAAUAAAUUGAUCCAAUUUACAAGUAUGGGAGAGUCCACUAGGCAUAAAUGGGUUAAAACCUAACCUUAUUUACCUCAACAUGUCAAUUAUUUCACCUGAACCCAUGGGCUUGUUAAUGUCAAAUACCCUCCGUCUGUAGGACAUUGGGCCAGAACAGGAAGCGGUACCUCAUGGGUCGGACAGAGAGUUUCAACAUCAGUGACGGGAACUGCGUGACCUUUAUACGUGACCUCACUAAGCCUACCUACAUGCAGCAUUAUCCACACGAGGUACCCUCC
RNA transcript from Dreissena polymorpha, 5703 nucleotides. It is a transcript of the gene named paramyosin-like, with no coding region annotated. NCBI's taxonomy places the organism in Eukaryota, Metazoa, Mollusca, Bivalvia, Myida, Dreissenidae. The transcript is spliced from 30 exons. The record is from RefSeq and is a predicted model, not a curated record.